GCGUGGCGGACGGGUGAGUAACACGUGGGAACCUGCCCAGAGGUACGGAAUAACCCAGGGAAACUUGGGACAAUACCGUAUGUGACCUGAGGGUGAAAGAUUUAUCGCCUUUGGAUGGGCCCGCGUCGGAUUAGGUAGUUGGUGGGGUAAAGGCCUACCAAGCCUACGAUCCGUAGCUGGUCUGAGAGGAUGAUCAGCCACACUGGGACUGAGACACGGCCCAGACUCCUACGGGAGGCAGCAGUGGGGAAUAUUGGACAAUGGGCGCAAGCCUGAUCCAGCAAUGCCGCGUGAGUGAUGAAGGCCUUAGGGUUGUAAAGCUCUUUCACCCACGACGAUGAUGACGGUAGUGGGAGAAGAAGCCCCGGCUAACUUCGUGCCAGCAGCCGCGGUAAUACGAAGGGGGCUAGCGUUGUUCGGAAUGACUGGGCGUAAAGGGCGCGUAGGCGGUGAACCAAGUUGGGGGUGAAAGCCCGGGGCUCAACCUCGGAAUUGCCUCCAAAACUGGUUCGCUAGAGUAUGGAAGAGGGUCGUGGAAUUCCCAGUGUAGAGGUGAAAUUCGUAGAUAUUGGGAAGAACACCAGUGGCGAAGGCGGCGACC
Molecule: ribosomal RNA, 601 nt
Filed under: Zavarzinia compransoris
Lineage: Bacteria; Pseudomonadati; Pseudomonadota; Alphaproteobacteria; Rhodospirillales; Zavarziniaceae
Description: bacterial SSU rRNA
Rfam family: Bacterial small subunit ribosomal RNA
Source: RNAcentral